UGCCAUUGUACACACCCAGGGAUGUCCAC
This 29-nucleotide non-coding RNA is filed under the name Mus musculus (house mouse). Lineage: Eukaryota; Metazoa; Chordata; Mammalia; Rodentia; Muridae. The record is from RNAcentral.